This 379-nucleotide ribosomal RNA is filed under the name uncultured euryarchaeote. RNAcentral describes it as "bacterial SSU rRNA". It matches the Rfam family "Archaeal small subunit ribosomal RNA", at positions 474 to 853 of the family's 1478-position model. Lineage: Archaea; Methanobacteriati; Methanobacteriota. The record is from RNAcentral. RNAcentral also lists the same sequence under 1 other name.
CACCGGCGGCUCGAGUGGUAACCGCUAUUAUUGGGUCUAAAGGGUCUGUAGCCUGCAGGUUAAGUCUCUUGGUAAAUCCGGCAGCUCAACUGUCGGGGUUCAGGGGAUACUGGUCUGCUCGGGACCGGGAGAGGUGAGAGGUACCUCAGGGGUAGGGGUGAAAUCUUGUAAUCCUUGAGGGACCACCAGUGGCGAAGGCGUCUCACCAGAACGGGUCCGACGGCAAGGGACGAAAGCUAGGGGCACGAACCGGAUUAGAUACCCGGGUAGUCCUAGCCGUAAACGAUACUCGCUAGGUGUCGGCCACGGUGCGACCGUGGUCGGUGCCGUAGGGAAGCCGUGAAGCGAGCCACCUGGGAAGUACGGCCGCAAGGCUGAA